UACGUAGGGUGCGAGCGUUAAUCGGAAUUACUGGGCGUAAAGCGUGCGCAGGCGGUUUUGUAAGCCAGAUGUGAAAUCCCCGGGCUUAACCUGGGAAUGGCAUUUGGGACUGCAAGGCUCGAGUGCGGCAGAGGAGACUGGAAUUCCUGGUGUAGCAGUGAAAUGCGUAGAUAUCAGGAGGAACACCGAUGGCGAAGGCAGCCCCCUGGGCUAACACUGACGCUCAUGCACGAAAGCGUGGGGAGCAAACAGG
Molecule: ribosomal RNA, 253 nt
Filed under: uncultured bacterium
Lineage: Bacteria
Description: partial 16S ribosomal RNA
Rfam family: Bacterial small subunit ribosomal RNA
Source: RNAcentral